RNAcentral lists this ribosomal RNA (1320 nucleotides) under metagenome. RNAcentral's name for it is "bacterial LSU rRNA". It matches the Rfam family "Bacterial large subunit ribosomal RNA", at positions 1577 to 2925 of the family's 2925-position model. The record is from RNAcentral.
CUUAAGUAGGGAAGCAUGUGAGCCAUGUGCCAAGAAAAGCCGCUAUAGAUCAUACCGUACCCGUACCGUAAACCGACACAGGUAGAUGAGGAGAGAAUCCUAAGGCCGACGGGAGAAGCAUUGUUAAGGAACUCGGCAAAAUGACCCCGUAACUUCGGGAGAAGGGGUGCCCACGCGAGUGGGCCGCAGAGAAUAGGCUCAAGCAACUGUUUAGCAAAAACACAGGUCUAUGCGAAACCGAAAGGUGAGGUAUAUGGGCUGACGCCUGCCCGGUGCUGGAAGGUUAAGAGGAGGAGUCAGGCAACGAAGCUCCGAAUUUAAGCCCCAGUAAACGGCGGCCGUAACGAUAACGGUCCUAAGGUAGCGAAAUUCCUUGUCGGGUAAGUUCCGACCCGCACGAAAGGCGUAAUGAUUUGAGCACUGUCUCGACAAUGCACCCGGUGAAAUUGAAGUACCAGUGAAGAUGCUGGUUACCUGCGCCAGGACGGAAAGACCCCAUGGAGCUUUACUCCAGUUUGAUACUGGGAUUCGAUACUGAAUGUACAGGAUAGGUGGGAGGCUGAGAAGCGUGGACGCCAGUCUGCGGUGAGCCGCUGUUGGGAUACCACCCUUUGAGUAUUGGAUUUCUAACCUGCGCCCGUGACCCGGGCGGGGGACAAUGUCUGACGGGGAGUUUGACUGGGGCGGUCGCCUCCGAAAGGGUAUCGGAGGCGCUCAAAGGUUCCCUCAGAAUGGUUGGAAACCAUUCGCAGAGUGCAAAGGCAGAAGGGAGCUUGACUGUGACACCGACGGGUGGAGCAGGUACGAAAGUAGGACUUAGUGAUCCGGUGGUAUGAAAGUGGGAUUGCCAUCGCUCAACGGAUAAAAGCUACCCUGGGAUAACAGGCUUAUCACUCCCAAGAGUUCACAUCGACGGAGUGGUUUGGCACCUCGAUGUCGGCUCAUCGCAUCCUGGGGCUGUAGCAGGUCCCAAGGGUUGGGCUGUUCGCCCAUUAAAGCGGUACGCGAGCUGGGUUCAGAACGUCGUGAGACAGUUCGGUCCCUAUCCGGCGCAGGCGUAGGAUAUUUGAGAGGAGCUGUCCUUAGUACGAGAGGACCGGGAUGGACAGACCGCUGGUGUAUCUGUUGGUGACCAACACCAUGGCAGAGUAGCCAAGUCUGGCAGGGAUAAACGCUGAAGGCAUCUAAGCGUGAAGCCCCCCUCAAGAUGAGAUAUCCCAAUAAGUAAGACCCCUUAGAGAGUAUGAGGUAGAUAGGCUUAAGGUGUAAGCAUAGUAAUAUGUUCAGCUGAUAAGUACUAAUAGGUCGAGGGCUUAUCAG